RNAcentral lists this ribosomal RNA (491 nucleotides) under uncultured bacterium. RNAcentral's name for it is "partial 16S ribosomal RNA". It matches the Rfam family "Bacterial small subunit ribosomal RNA", at positions 29 to 507 of the family's 1533-position model. The record is from RNAcentral.
GUGAACGCUGGCGGUAGGCCUAACACAUGCAGGUCGAACGGCAGCACAGUAAGAGCUUGCUCUUACGGGUGGCGAGUGGCGGACGGGUGAGGAAUACAUCGGAAUCUACUUUUUCGUGGGGGAUAACGUAGGGAAACUUACGCUAAUACCGCAUACGACCUACGGGUGAAAGCAGGGGAUCUUCGGACCUUGCGCGAUUGAAUGAGCCGAUGUCGGAUUAGCUAGUUGGCGGGGUAAAGGCCCACCAAGGCGACGAUCCGUAGCUGGUCUGAGAGGAUGAUCAGCCACACUGGAACUGAGACACGGUCCAGACUCCUACGGGAGGCAGCAGUGGGGAAUACUGGACAAUGGGCGCAAGCCUGAUCCAGCCAUACCGCGUGGGUGAAGAAGGCCUUCGGGUUGUAAAGCCCUUUUGUUGGGAAAGAAAAGCAGCAGGUUAAUACCCCGCUGUUCUGACGGUACCCAAAGAAUAAGCACCGGCUAACUUCGUG